This is a non-coding RNA of Pelodiscus sinensis (Chinese soft-shelled turtle), 2065 nucleotides long. The record is from RefSeq and is a predicted model, not a curated record. NCBI's taxonomy places the organism in Eukaryota, Metazoa, Chordata, Testudines, Trionychidae.
GGGGAGGGGAGUUCUGUAAAUCAAGUUUUCACAAUCAAAAAUCCAGUUUAUGAUUUAAGCUUAUAUAAGCUUAUAUAGAGUGACAGAGUAAAGCAGCAAUGUGACUGAAUUCUCAGGAGCUACAAUUCUAGAACAUUACACAUUGUUACAGGUAGAGCAUUGGUAGAUGAUUUCAUAAGGCUGCUGGAAUGAAGAUAGCUGGAUGACAUAUUAGUGACAGUUCACAUUCUAAAACCAUUUAUCCUUCCUUCUGUUUUCCUGAAGCAUGGCCCUGUCUUUGCUCUGAGCUCUUUUAGGUGCUUGCUUGGACAACUGCAGCUAUGCAAAGAACCCAGAAACGGAAGCUUUUGCAACAUGCUUCAGGAUGUCUACAUUGUAGCAGGGGUGUGAAUGCAGCCCAUACAAACACUCCCGUUACCUGGACUCCAAUUUGCAGCAAGCUAGUUGAAGUGUACCUUCUCAAAUGGACGCAUGUAAUUGUGUGGCCAGGGCUGCAGCUAUUUUAAACCAGCUAGCUAGAAUACAGCCAGCAGGCACGCAUCUACACAAGCUGCUAUUCACACCUAUGGUUGCAGCAUACACAUACCACUACUAAGUGACACAAAGCUGGUGUCAUCCUGAGCAAAGAUGCUCGAGUACAUGAGCUCUAGUUUCAACAGAUUAAAAGCCAGAAUUCCCUUCAAAGCAAAGGCCAGAAGUCACUUCCCUACAAGUGACACUAGCCCUAUGCAAGCUAGAAUUAUGCAGAAGAUUGAACAGCCCCUUGAUUUUGCAUUAGCUUAGAUCUCUUUACUUUAUGAUGCCAUUAAAGGGAUUAAUUUAAAUGAUCUGUUUCAGGCUGACAUUUACAGCAGACUAUGGAAACUUUAUACAAGACACUCAAACCCAGAAGGUGAGCAUGGUUUAGUUCUGCUCAUCAUUGAAGGAGCAAGUAUAGAAAUGCCCAAGUCUGCCAAGUGUAAGAGUUACCGUGCCUGCUAUCAAGACUCAUACAUGCAAGAUUUUCCUGUAGCCCCCUGCAUAGAAAGCUCCAGAGGCUGCUAAUAUUUACAUGCAGAGAUGCAUAACCAAGGACACUGAGUGAGAGAUGAGACAACUGGAACAAAUUUAGACCAAAAGCAGUGGACAUUUAUUCCUCAUUUGUGCAAGAGUGUAAAGAUGCAUUUGAAAAUGGAUGGGACAGACCCCCGUGGCUGGAGAGCUGGCGGCUACAGCCUCUCCUUCAUUUUGAUGGCUUGGUUUACAAUUAUUCUAAAGGAGAUAAGUUUGCAGACUCACCUACUUCACAUGAAUGUUGCUGGCAAAUACACUUGUUUACAAAGUAAAAUUUCAAACUACAUUUUCACUAAGUUCAAGUGAAGACUUUGUUCAAAUAAAAGACACAUACAAGUACAAUUUAAAACCAUAUGAACAUUUGCAAAUGUUCAGUGCAAAGUAAGCAUGUAAAAGCUACAUUUUAUGAACAUUUGUGCUGAUGCGUGUUUGAUCAUUUUUACCCUUUUACAUCCAUUACUUUUAGUUACAUAAGGUUUCACUUACCUACAUAUGCAUUGUGUUAAGUCCCAUACAAGUGGGAAUAAUACCAUCAGGCUUUGUAAAAUGUUGCUCAGAUCCUCAUUAAGUAAACUGCUUUGUUGCUGGCACACUACAUAUCUUGAUUUCACAUAAGCGCUUAACCCUUAUGUUUGUCGUGUUCAGGUGCAUAGCCUUUAAGACAAACUGAAUUGCUUCAGGAUUCUAAAAUGCAGCUGUUUGUGAAUGCAGAUGUUUAAGGACAAGCCACCACUCAUUUUAGCCUGUAACAAACUGGUUUUAAAAUUAAAAGCCUAUUCACACAAAGUUAUAUGUAAUGACUGUAGUAAUCAGUUUAUUACACAGAUUAAUCAUUCUUGAACGUACAAGCCCCAGGGGAGCAGUUGGGUCUUUAAAUAUACACGAGUUUUCUGUCAAAUGAAUUUUUACCCUUACAUCCAGAAAGACCUAAGCAGUUAAAAAACUUAAGAAAAUAUGAGCUAUUAGCUAUGUAUUAACUGAGAAAACCACAUACAAACCAAAAAAAAAAAAA